GGGGGAGGGGCUGUUACUCACACGCGCCGGUCUGGGUUCAGAUCAGUUCUGUUCUGUGGUCUCCCAAGGCCCUUGAUUUAUAGGGUCCCCGCGGACGGAAGCUUUCCCCCUGUCAGCGGGUCUCCACUGAAUCAGCGGCAGGAGUCCUGGAUGAUCCCCCGGUCGCGCGGCCCCUCCCCCGCUCCUUCCCAACCCACGCCGCAGCGAUCGCAGACUCUAGGGGAGGGAGCGAAGUUCUCUCUAUCGUUCCAGCGCCUCCGAGGGUGUAAAGCAAGGUUAUGAUCUCCGCCUUCUUGGUAUUUCCUGUACUGCCGCAACAUCUGGAGACAAAGGGGAAUAAUUGCUGGCUAGUAGACGACCAAUAGUAUCCUUCUGUUCCACCUGCUUCAAGAUGGCUGACUCCCAGCUGCUGCGUAAAGAGGAGGAAGGGGGUCAGAAUUGCCUUGUAACACAGGCCAACCUGGAUUAGAGGAGAGAAGCUCUAUUCCUUGGCUAACAGUGACUGAGAGAAUUUGUGGCUGGCAGAGCCUUCUUAGAAACAGUACUAAAGGAAGUCCCUCCACCUGAGAGGAAACAAUAACAGAUGGUGAUUCAAAUCUGCAUGAAGAAAUGAAGAGGACUGAAGGA
This 627-nucleotide long non-coding RNA is filed under the name Equus caballus (horse). RNAcentral's name for it is "lncRNA (ENSECAG00000044813.1)". Lineage: Eukaryota; Metazoa; Chordata; Mammalia; Perissodactyla; Equidae. The record is from RNAcentral.